AGUGAACGCUGGCGGUAGGCCUAACACAUGCAAGUCGAACGGCAGCACAGUAAGAGCUUGCUCUUACGGGUGGCGAGUGGCGGACGGGUGAGGAAUACAUCGGAAUCUACUUUUUCGUGGGGGAUAACGUAGGGAAACUUACGCUAAUACCGCAUACGACCUACGGGUGAAAGCAGGGGAUCUUCGGACCUUGCGCGAUUGAAUGAGCCGAUGUCGGAUUAGCUAGUUGUCGGGGUAAAGGCCCACCAAGGCGACGAUCCGUAGCUGGUCUGAGAGGAUGAUCAGCCACACUGGAACUGCGACACGGUCCAGACUCCUACGGGAGGCAGCAGUGGGGAAUAUUGGACAAUGGGCGCAAGCCUGAUCCAGCCAUACCGCGUGGGUGAAGAAGGCCUUCGGGUUGUAAAGCCCUUUUGUUGGGAAAGAAAAGCAGCAGGUUAAUACCCCGCUGUUCUGACGGUACCCAAAGAAUAAGCACCGGCUAACUUCGUG
Molecule: ribosomal RNA, 492 nt
Filed under: uncultured bacterium
Lineage: Bacteria
Description: partial 16S ribosomal RNA
Rfam family: Bacterial small subunit ribosomal RNA
Source: RNAcentral